RNAcentral lists this non-coding RNA (30 nucleotides) under Rattus norvegicus (Norway rat). The record is from RNAcentral. Lineage: Eukaryota; Metazoa; Chordata; Mammalia; Rodentia; Muridae.
UACAUAGUCAAGACUCUUGUCUUCCCCAAG